AACGCUAGCGGCAGGCUUAACACAUGCAAGUCGAGGGGCAGCAUGACACGGAGAUUCGUCGAAGUGUCGAUGGCGACCGGCGCAAGGGUGCGUAACGCGUGAGCAACUUGCCCGUUCAGGGGGAUAACCGGUGGAAACGCCGACUAAUACCCCAUGGCAUCAGUUUGAGGCAUCUCAUGCUGAUUAAAGAAAUUCGGAAACGGAUAGGCUCGCGUGACAUUAGCUAGAUGGCGGGGUAACGGCCCACCAUGGCUACGAUGUCUAGGGGUUCUGAGAGGAAGGUCCCCCACACUGGAACUGAGACACGGUCCAGACUCCUACGGGAGGCAGCAGUGAGGAAUAUUGGUCAAUGGUCUGACGACUGAACCAGCCAUGCCGCGUGAAGGUCACGGCCCUAUGGGUCUUAAACUUCUUUUGUAAGGGAGCAAUAAGGUGCACGUGUGCAUCGAUGAGAGUACCUUACGAAUAAGCAUCGGCUAACUCCGUG
This 487-nucleotide ribosomal RNA is filed under the name uncultured bacterium. RNAcentral's name for it is "bacterial SSU rRNA". It matches the Rfam family "Bacterial small subunit ribosomal RNA", at positions 32 to 507 of the family's 1533-position model. The record is from RNAcentral.